AUGAACGCUGGCGGCGUGCUUAACACAUGCAAGUCGAACGAAGCACUUUAUUUGAUUUCCUUCGGGACUGAUUAUUUUGUGACUGAGUGGCGGACGGGUGAGUAACGCGUGGGUAACCUGCCUUGUACAGGGGGAUAACAGUUGGAAACGGCUGCUAAUACCGCAUAAGCGCACGGCAUCGCAUGAUGCAGUGUGAAAAACUCCGGUGGUAUAAGAUGGACCCGCGUUGGAUUAGCUAGUUGGUGAGGUAACGGCCCACCAAGGCGACGAUCCAUAGCCGACCUGAGAGGGUGACCGGCCACAUUGGGACUGAGACACGGCCCAAACUCCUACGGGAGGCAGCAGUGGGGAAUAUUGCACAAUGGGCGAAAGCCUGAUGCAGCGACGCCGCGUGAGCGAAGAAGUAUUUCGGUAUGUAAAGCUCUAUCAGCAGGGAAGAUAAUGACGGUACCUGACGAAGAAGCACCGGCUAAAUACGUG
RNAcentral lists this ribosomal RNA (480 nucleotides) under uncultured bacterium. RNAcentral describes it as "partial 16S ribosomal RNA". It matches the Rfam family "Bacterial small subunit ribosomal RNA", at positions 29 to 507 of the family's 1533-position model. The record is from RNAcentral.